RNAcentral lists this long non-coding RNA (247 nucleotides) under Linum usitatissimum (flax). RNAcentral's name for it is "long non-coding RNA (LUSI_LNC005782)". Lineage: Eukaryota; Viridiplantae; Streptophyta; Magnoliopsida; Malpighiales; Linaceae. The record is from RNAcentral.
UCAAAUAUUGCAUGGAUUAUCGAACUCGAGAUCAAGUAAGGAAUUCUAAUCAAGAGAAAAUGAUGACUGAGAAUUUGAUACUUCAUGAAAAUCAACGCUAUUAAACAAUUGAUCGGAAUUCAUUGCGAGGAUCGUUGAAAAAAAAUCAUGAAACAAAACAAACAAAAUGAUAAAAAAUGGAAAAUGAACGCGGCAGAAGAAGUAAGUUUAGAAAAAAAAUAAUUAAAGUGCUCCUUCAACACAGAAA